Molecule: non-coding RNA, 73 nt
Organism: Hydatigera taeniaeformis
Lineage: Eukaryota; Metazoa; Platyhelminthes; Cestoda; Cyclophyllidea; Taeniidae
Source: Rfam
GGGUGUGUUUCGCAACGGACAACGCCUCUGAUUACGCAUCAGAAGAUUGCAGGUUCGAAUCCUGGCACACUCA